UACGUAGGGGGCUAGCGUUGUCCGGAAUCAUUGGGCGUAAAGAGCGUGUAGGCGGCCCGGUAAGUCCGCUGUGAAAGUCGGGGGCUCAACCCUCGAAUGCCGGUGGAUACUGUCGGGCUAGAGUGCGGAAGAGGCGAGUGGAAUUCCUGGUGUAGCGGUGAAAUGCGCAGAUAUCAGGAGGAACACCAAUUGCGAAGGCAGCUCGCUGGGACGUAACUGACACUGAGGCACGAAAGCGUGGGGAGCAAACAGG
Molecule: ribosomal RNA, 253 nt
Filed under: uncultured bacterium
Lineage: Bacteria
Description: partial 16S ribosomal RNA
Rfam family: Bacterial small subunit ribosomal RNA
Source: RNAcentral